GUGUCUGCUCCCUCCUCCCACAACCCUACACACCUAGCUGAGACCCUUCAGGACCGGCGGAGCUGCUGCGGGGCCGGGCCGUGGCGGGACUGGGGCCUUUCUUUGUGUCCUCUGCGUCGCUGUAGCACCGCACCCAGUGGUUGAGCUCCUCGCGGUCGGCCUCCUGGCACCGGCGUAGCACCGUGAGCGAGCGCCGCGUCUUCUCCACCAUGUCCAUGAUACAGUUCAAGCGAGGGCAGCCUUCAGCGCCUCGGAGGGACCAGGACGCACCAGACGCUCCCCCAGCCCACUCGGCCAGAGCCCUGGACAGGAUGGGUGCCCGACCAGCCCACCACCCAUGAGGGUUCCAGGACUGAAGCCGCACAGGCCACUCCCACAGGUCACCAGAAACUAAG
This 395-nucleotide non-coding RNA is filed under the name Pongo abelii (Sumatran orangutan). Lineage: Eukaryota; Metazoa; Chordata; Mammalia; Primates; Hominidae. The record is from RNAcentral.